UACGGGGGGUGCAAGCGUUAAUCGGAAUCACUGGGCGUAAAGGGUGCGUAGGCGGUUUGGUAAGACAGAUGUGAAAUCCCCGGGCUCAACCUGGGAAUGGCGGUGGAAACCGGUGUACUAGAGUAUGGGAGAGGGUGGUGGAAUUCCAGGUGUAGCGGUGAAAUGCGUAGAGAUCUGGAGGAACAUCAGUGGCGAAGGCGGCCACCUGGCCCAAUACUGACGCUGAGGCACGAAAGCGUGGGGAGCAAACAGG
This 253-nucleotide ribosomal RNA is filed under the name uncultured Acidithiobacillus sp. RNAcentral's name for it is "partial 16S ribosomal RNA". It matches the Rfam family "Bacterial small subunit ribosomal RNA", at positions 524 to 776 of the family's 1533-position model. The record is from RNAcentral. Lineage: Bacteria; Pseudomonadati; Pseudomonadota; Acidithiobacillia; Acidithiobacillales; Acidithiobacillaceae.